RNAcentral lists this ribosomal RNA (189 nucleotides) under uncultured Bacteroides sp. RNAcentral's name for it is "partial 16S ribosomal RNA". The record is from RNAcentral. Lineage: Bacteria; Pseudomonadati; Bacteroidota; Bacteroidia; Bacteroidales; Bacteroidaceae.
GGAGUUUGGACCGUGUCUCAGUUCCAAUGUGGGGGACCUUCCGUCUCAGAACCCCUACCGACUCGUUGCCUUGGUGGGCCGUUACCUCGCCAACCAUAGCUAAUCGGACGCAUCCCCAUCCCACCACCCGAUGAAUCUUUACUCCUCGUCAGAUGUCCGCAAAGGAGACCAUCAGGGAUUAAUCCAGUU